ACACUGUCAGAUGACCAGUUGAGAGAGCUGGAGGCAGCCUUCCAGGUGGACCCUUACCUGCCGAGAGUCGACAGAGAGAAGCUGGCAAAACGUGUCAACCUUCACCAGAGGAAGCUUGAGAUCUGGUUCAACAACAGGCGAGCAAAGUGGCGGAAAACUGGAAAACGAAGACUGAACGGUCCCGUCCUGAGGGGGCCUCGUCCCAAGCGUCCCGACACAACAAGUGAGACGCCGAACGGAAGUUCUCAGAGCGCCCAACUCAC
Branchiostoma floridae (Florida lancelet) is the source of this 263-nucleotide long non-coding RNA. RefSeq lists it as uncharacterized. The transcript is spliced from 3 exons. Lineage: Eukaryota; Metazoa; Chordata; Leptocardii; Amphioxiformes; Branchiostomatidae. The record is from RefSeq and is a predicted model, not a curated record.